Molecule: long non-coding RNA, 1127 nt
Filed under: Phasianus colchicus (ring-necked pheasant)
Lineage: Eukaryota; Metazoa; Chordata; Aves; Galliformes; Phasianidae
Description: lncRNA (ENSPCLG00000017575.1)
Source: RNAcentral
AUGUGGGCACACACACGUGGAGGCACACACACACACACAGGGAUGUCUACACACGGGGAUGCACACACACACACACACAGGGGCACACACAUACAUGGACACCUGGACACACAUACACACACACACGAGGGGUGUUACACACACACGGGUUGGGGAUGCACACACCCAGGGAUGUACACACAUGAGGAUACACGCACAUACACACACACACAGGGAUUGUGCACACACAUGGACACACACGGGGGGGUGUACACACUCAGGAACGUACACACACACAGGGGGAUACACACACACGAACACACACACACACACUCAGGAAUGUACACGCAUGAUGACACACACAGAGGGGGAACACACACAUGGUUGGACACACACGGGGGCACACACACAUGGGGGCACACACACACAGGGAUGCAGACACACACAGAUGCACACACACGGGGGGACCACACACACACAGGGAUACGCACACACACACAGCUCACACACACACACACACACGGAUGCACACACACAUGGGGGCACAAACACUCUCACAGGGAUGCACACACACACUCAGCUCACGCACACACACACAGAUGCACACACACACACAGAUGCACACACACACUCACAGGGAUGCACACACACUCACAGGGAUGCACACACACGCACAGAUGCACACACACGCACACACAAGGAUGCACACACACACACAGGGAUGUGCAUACGUGGGGACACACAGGAUGCACACACACACACACACAGGGAUGUGCAUACACGGGGACACCCAGGAUGCACACACACACAGCUCACACACACGCACACACGCGGGGUGUGACACACUCGCACACGCGCGUGCGCUACUUGCUGUUGUGCUGCGGGCUGUGCUCGGGCAGCAGGCUGCGAGUGACGCUUACCGUGGCUCCGCAGGACAGCGCCGAGGCGCCCAGCGCGAUCAGACACAGCCAGGUCUGCAACCACAGCGGGACGGAGCCUCACAUCCUUCCUGCCCCACAUCUGCCCCUUCCUGCCCCACGUCUGCCCCUUCCUGCCCCACAUCUGUUGUUUCCUGCCCCACGUCUGCUCCUUCCUGCCCCACGUCUGCCCAUUCCUGCCCCACAUCUGCUCCUCCCUGCCCCACAUCU